GUCUAAGGCUAUACCACCCUGAACACGCCCGAUCUCGUCUGAUCUCGGAAGCUAAGCAGGGUUGGGCCUGGUUAGUACUUGGAUGGGAGAAAAAGUACUGUGCACU
Molecule: ribosomal RNA, 106 nt
Filed under: Erinaceus europaeus (western European hedgehog)
Lineage: Eukaryota; Metazoa; Chordata; Mammalia; Eulipotyphla; Erinaceidae
Source: RNAcentral